GCCGAGGGGGUGGUGGGUGGGGGCUGGUUGCCACCAAAAAGGAGGUCACAGCAUCCCCCUGAUGGGUCGGGACUCGGCUGAAGGGCUGCGCUGGGAGCAGAGGUGACCCCGGCGGGUGGGAGCUGCUGCCUGCAGAUGGGUCCCGCGAAGGUGAGCACCCAGUUUUGGGGAGCACGGGGGCGAUGGGGUGCUGCAUGGGGCCAUGGUUAGGACGAGCUGACCCCGCUGAGCGAGCUGUCGAGGGCUGGCACAGCCUCGCUGUGGCGGCAGGGGUGUAGGGAGCUCAAAGCCACCUGGCCUGGGGAAACGGGUGCCACCGGCUGUCACCCACCUGCAGCCCCCCAGGAGUUCCCUGAGGGUAUCGGGGUGCAGGAAAACCCCCAGAGCAUCUCCCAGCCCUUGUGGGUCCCUUGCAGAGAGCGUCACCUGCAGCUGCCAGCGCCCAGUGCUGGGGACACAGGAUGGGGACACGCUUGUCCCUCAGCCCCGCCUGACCUCUCCGCCGCUCGGUCUUUGGAGCCUGCCAGCAAAUUCCCGUGGAGCCAUUUUUAGCUCUCGCCUGGCCCGAGUGCCAGCCAAGGGCUCCCAGGAGCCCUUUAUACUCCUGACAGCUCUGGCCCACUUUGUAAAUAAAGAGGGUGCCUGUUCCCUGGCUGCGCCGUCACCCCGUCCCCCCGCUGGCCCCUGCCCCGGGCACGAGCCCCGGCUGCGGUGGGUACGUGCCCGGUGGCCCCUGGGCACCUCUUCUCCCUCCCGCACCCCAGCCCUGCAAGCUGCAGGCUCCACCCGUGGGCCGCAGCGUGGAAACCAGGGAGGGAGAGAAAAAUAACAGCGAUUACAAAAAUAAGGAAAAAAAAAAAUUCUUAAAAAAAAAUACCCCAACUUGCUCCGGUCAGAGCUCAGCCCAGGGGUGUUUGGGGUAGAGAGGGGCUGUGUGGCCGGCUGUGCAUGCACGGUGUCCGGGUGUGCAUGCACAGUGUCUGGGGGUGUGUGUAGUGUCCAGGUGUGCAUGCACAGUGUCUGGGGGUGUGUGUGUAGUGUCCAGGUGUGCAUGCACAGUGUCCAGGUGUGCAUGCACAGUGUCUGGGGGUGCAUAUACAGCGUCAGGGUGUGCAAACACAGUGUCAGGUUGUGCAUAUAGUGUCCAGGUGUUCGUACCCAGUGUCAGGGUGCGCAUGCACAGUGUCCAGGUGUGCAUCCCCAGUGUCUGGCUGUGCAUUCCCAGUGCCCGGGUGUCUGUGCACGGUGUCCAGUUGUGCGCAGAGUCCGUGCACCGCCCUGUGGCAACAGGCAGAAACAGGCAGCAGGGCUGCAGCCCCAGCCUGGCCUCCAGCCCAGCACCACUGGGGGUGCAGGAGGAGCCCUGGCUCCAGCCUGCAGCCGGGGGGCGGGGGGGACGAGCCCUGCAAUAGGGGUUUUGCAGCAGACCCACAUCCUCAGCCCGUGGGGGGGUGUCCAGAGCAGCAUCGGGGUGCCAGUGCUGCUCCCCUGCACCCCAGGGGGCUGCCGGCAGGACGUUGUUUAUCCAAGGGAGCAUCCCGCCUCCCCGCCCACCCAGCAAUCACCUCCCUCCUCUCUUGCCCUUCGUCAGUGCUUUAUUUAUUCCCCCUCCCUGUGCUGCUCUGCCUGGGCCCGGGGUCCCUGGGGAAGGGGUGCUGGCCCCCAGGGUGGGAUGGGCUGUGCUGCAGAGGGGGCUGGAAGCAGAAGUGCCCAACAGAGAUGCAGCUCUUCCUUUCUCUCUUUUUUUUUUUUUUUUUUUAAAAAAAAAAAGACUGUAAAUAUAGAUAGAGCUUUAUUUUGUUAAUAAGACGAUGAGUAACUUAACCUGUAUAUUUCACAUACUUGUUUACAAUUGUCCCCCUCCCUACCCCUUGGCACAAUAAAGGUGACUUUUUGGAGCGGA
Long non-coding RNA from Athene cunicularia (burrowing owl), 1903 nucleotides. RefSeq lists it as uncharacterized. The record is from RefSeq and is a predicted model, not a curated record. The transcript has 2 exons. Lineage: Eukaryota; Metazoa; Chordata; Aves; Strigiformes; Strigidae.